GAACGGACCCCCGUGCCCGGCACGCCAGAUCGGGACCGUGGACCUGAGGCAGCCGUACAGAGGCGGCGUCCACACCUACAGAAAAAAACAAAACAAAACAAAAAAACAAGGGCCAAAAAGGCUAAGUGACUCCUCUCACACACUCACCCCUGCCUCACAAAAUCAGAGGAGAUGGAACCAGGACACCUGAAGAACUGUCUCUGCCGGCCAAGGACCCUCCACCUCCCUCCAGUCAACUGGCAGGAUUGAGUAGCGAACCAGGUCACUAAAGACACAAUGUAAACCCAGUGUCCCAGCACAUACCUGAACUUCCAUCACGUGGGAGGCCGAGGCAGGAGGAUCAUGAGUUUGAGGCCAACCUGGACUACAUAGCAAGACCCUGUCUCAGAACAGAAAGGGAAAAAAAGAGCUCCAUAAUGAGAUCAGUUUCCCCACUGUUUGCUAAGGAGACAAAGUGGGGAGGGAUCUUCAAGUGUUACUGUGGGAUGGUUUCCAGGCUCUUGUGCAUGAGGGACAAAGCAUUGGAUGUUGCACACAAUGAUACAGAAAAAGCAGGCUGUGUUCCCACCAUCUUCAGCGCCAGAGGGCCUUCUCUGCUGCACCCUCUCUUGCAGGCUGCGUUCCGCCAUCUUCAGCCGCGCCCUCCAGGCGGUGUUCCCGCUAUCUUUAGUGCCAGAGGACCUGCUCGGCGGGGUCCUCCCGUGCUGGCGCCGCUGCUGCCAUCUUCAGCACUAGAAAAAGAGCUGUGUGGGCACCCCAUACCCCCCCAACCUUCCCCCUCCCGCUUUUAGACCUCCUGAUUG
Long non-coding RNA from Fukomys damarensis (Damara mole-rat), 803 nucleotides. RefSeq lists it as uncharacterized. The transcript is spliced from 3 exons. Lineage: Eukaryota; Metazoa; Chordata; Mammalia; Rodentia; Bathyergidae. The record is from RefSeq and is a predicted model, not a curated record.